Molecule: long non-coding RNA, 2494 nt
Organism: Equus caballus (horse)
Lineage: Eukaryota; Metazoa; Chordata; Mammalia; Perissodactyla; Equidae
Source: Ensembl
AUGAAAUUGCAAUGGAUCGAAAUAAUUUUGGAUCUCCUUCUAGAAUUUCCUGGAAGACUCUAAGACAAUUUUUUAAUAAAAUACUAUGAUCUACUAUUCCCUGUCUGCUUCCAGGAGCAGACUACGAGCUCCUAGAAGGUAAGGGCCAUGUUCAUGGCAGCAGCACCGGCUACAGUCCUACUGGAACUUGGUAAAUGGUCAGUAAAGGACCUUCCAUAAGAAGUGGUCUCAAUGUGAACAACCAUCACUAUCCAGAUCUUCAGAUUCUGUGCCCUUUAUUUGGUACCUGUUUUUUUUAAGAUAGCUCCUUUGCUAUAAGCCAUUAUCUGUUAUCUCAAGAUAAGUAGAAACUAGCCGUCUUCCUCAAAAUUUUAAAACCUAGCAAGUGAUUCAAAUGUCAGUUUAGAAGGUUUCCAUGCUGUUUUUCACUGUGCAGAGAAUGCAUUGGGAGGCUGUGAAAGACAACAGCUUGGUUUCACCUGCUCAAGGCCAGUGGAUCUGGGACUGCCCUGUGGAUUGCCCAGAAGGGCCUCGACACCUGCAGUUGCUGGUCCCAGUUAACUUGGCGCAGUUGUAUUUUUAUUCGGAUAGGUGUGCAGUUCCGGCCAAGUUGGAGGGCUCAGCUAGGACUUGUCAACAGUGAAUGCAGUAAUUGUACCCAUGAAGCUUAAGAAGACAUUUUGUAAAGGAGUCACUUGCAGCCAGUCGAGCCCGUCUUGUGCAGCCGUGUGGAAUGUCCUCAGAUGUUGAGCAUUCAACCUGGCCUGAAUAGAGACUAUUACACCAUGCCGGGAUGUGGAGGCCGGGGAGUGGCUGAGCCUACUAGCUAAUGACCUGCACGUCGCAGCCCGGGGCCUACAUUUGAGCUUCAGUAAAGUGGCAAGACCUCACACACUGGACCUUCAGAGUUGCUCAGGUAUAGUCAAAGGCAUGAAUGUUUGUUUAGUCCAUAAAUGGCAAGAGCCAUAGUUCCUAUGCGCUGUGUAGUUGAACAUGGGGGACUGCUUUAGGAAAUGCGGCUGGGCCUGGUGAUUAUUUCUGGGGCUCCUCGGGUCUCUGAGCUGGCCUCCAAGGCUGUUGCUGAAUUACAACAUCUCACACCGCUCUCGAGCUAGAAUCCAGACUGAUUUAGGAAACCCAGACACAGGGACUUCCUGGCGGCAUUUUACUCUCUGAAUAGACUGUUGAAUUGGGGAGCUGGCAGCAGGUGUUAAAUGUAAACCUGGUCGGAAGAUGUAUUGGCAAGGGUUGUUUGUCUGAUCCUAAGAGCUAAGCAGACUUGCAAAUCUUGUGUUUUACAACGGGUUUAGCAGAACUUGGAAUGUCAAAGGGGGAGGCUAUGAUGGGAGACCAAGGAGGCUGAGAACCGCUGUGCCAGUUAACGGCUGCUUUAAUCUCCUCGAGAAAGAUCUUUAAAGGGAAAGGUCCAAUAACUUUCCAAGACCAGAGUGCAAAUCUGAGACACCACACAGGACAGGGAAAAUUAGUGUGACUUAAGUCCCUGUCCCUUUUCCUGCGUUAUCUGUGCUUUCCCUGAAGCGUGCCAUUGGCAUAAAAGGAAAGCCUGGAGCCGCUGGAGCUGUGUCUAGUGUCCCAGUGUCGCUGCCCGCCCGGCUGUCGGCUGUCGUUUGUUUGCAUUGCUUUCUGUGAUCACGCCCCUUUUUCAUCCUGCCUUUCACCUCUCCACCUCAUGCCUCCCUAUUUCUUAAGGCAUUGAACUCUUCCUCUAAUACUCCUGUCAGCAGAAGUGUACCCGAAAGGCCCUAGGAAAUCUCCUUGAAGUAGUUUCAGUGAGAUGUUUAUGAUCCUCUUCAGUCCGCCCUGCUGCACUUCCGUACUAACAAGCUUGGUCCUUCCAUCACCUGGACUUCUUUUAAAAAGGAAGCCUGUGAACAUUCCACCAGAAGUGCCUGAAAAAUCUGUUCCUUUGGGGAAACGCACAAUUAAAAGCCGCACAGAGAGAGGAGGUGACCGUUUCCAGUCACCUCCUUGUGUUGUGCGGAGAGCUGCCCUGAGCCCGCACUGCACCGAGUCCGUUAACGCUCCUGCAAAUGAAAUGGAUUACUUGCCACCAGCCAGCCCAAGAGGCAGGGCUGAAAUAACUGUAGAGUAUCAGAACGACUGCUUAAACCCUGCAAGGGGCAAAGAAACCAAUGAUAAAAUUGCUUAUAAAAACUAGUGAGGAUGCCCUCAUAUUUCAGGCAUCAAAACUUUCCAUCUCCCUGGCCACAGGCUGGUAACUGUUGAAGCUAGGGAUGGGUGUAUGGGGUGGGUUGGUUGUACCAGUCUACCAUCACAAAGGUCGGAAAUAUUCUUACUCAGUUUGCUGCUAACUUUCCAACCCUCUGAGGUCUGCACGCUAGGAAUUAGCUCCAUCAUACAGGAGUUAAGUUCUAUCAGCCAGAGCUAGAAAUCUGACCCCCCCCCCCUCCUUUUUCCUUUCACUCAAGGGGAAACUCGGGAGGCUCACAUUUCCCCCGUAGCUAAAGCAUGG